Non-coding RNA from Lupinus albus (white lupine), 308 nucleotides. The record is from the annotation of a GenBank genome assembly. Lineage: Eukaryota; Viridiplantae; Streptophyta; Magnoliopsida; Fabales; Fabaceae.
GCAGUUGGGACCAAAGCUGAUACUUAAUACUCACUUGUACUACUCACUUCGCAUGUUGAAAGGAGGGCAAGGAGGCUUUCUUAGCUUUGGAUGAAGAUCUGAAUGUUGUUGGAUUCUUCUGUGCACCAUUAGAGCAAAUAUCAUUGACAUAUUAUUAGUUUGCUCUCAAGUCCUUGUAUCUUUAUUAUUUCAAAUUAUUGCAUUAAAUGAUUUUAUAAUAAAAACUAGAAAUAUAAGGCAUUGUCCUACUUAGUAUUUGAUUUUUUUAUUAACUAGAAAAGUUCUAACAAAAAUAUAAGGCAUUGUAA